RNAcentral lists this transfer RNA (84 nucleotides) under Streptomyces murinus. Its description in RNAcentral is "tRNA-Leu". It matches the Rfam family "tRNA". From Rfam's summary of the family: Transfer RNA (tRNA) molecules are approximately 80 nucleotides in length. The record is from RNAcentral. Lineage: Bacteria; Bacillati; Actinomycetota; Actinomycetes; Kitasatosporales; Streptomycetaceae.
GAGCGAGUGGCGCAACAGGCAGACGCAGCGGACUUAAAAUCCGCCGCCCUUCCGGGCAUGUGGGUUCGACUCCCACCUCGCUCA